Molecule: ribosomal RNA, 102 nt
Filed under: Proteus mirabilis
Lineage: Bacteria; Pseudomonadati; Pseudomonadota; Gammaproteobacteria; Enterobacterales; Morganellaceae
Description: partial 23S ribosomal RNA
Rfam family: Bacterial large subunit ribosomal RNA
Source: RNAcentral
GACCUAAAGGAACGUUUAAGACGAAGACGUUGAUAGGCUGGGUGUGUAAGCGUAGCGAUACGUUGAGCUAACCAGUACUAAUGAACCGUGAGGCUUAACCUG